AAAGGAUCAAUACAAGAAAAAGAUGGAUGGCACUAAAAGCAAAAUAUGAAUCCCCAGAAACUAAAAGAUACUCAGAGAUAUGUGCUUUCCCAUAGAGUCAAAAUCUUUUGAGGAUUUUCACUUUGGAAAGGUGAAGCAAAGGUAGUGAUUAUUGUCAAAUUCCCAUUUGCAGAUACAAGCUAAGGAUUGCUUGCAGAAAAACUACUACCUUUUGAGCCAGAAUAAUUGAAUCAACUGGGGUUAGCUCAAUUGGUACACGCGCAAGCAAUUGUGAGUAGGGUCGUGUUUGCUGUGCAAGAUCGACCCUUCUUCCAAGAAAAAGAAAAUAGCAGAA
This 334-nucleotide unclassified non-coding RNA is filed under the name Hevea brasiliensis (rubber tree). Lineage: Eukaryota; Viridiplantae; Streptophyta; Magnoliopsida; Malpighiales; Euphorbiaceae. The record is from RNAcentral.